RNAcentral lists this ribosomal RNA (724 nucleotides) under uncultured bacterium. Its description in RNAcentral is "partial 16S ribosomal RNA". It matches the Rfam family "Bacterial small subunit ribosomal RNA", at positions 787 to 1503 of the family's 1533-position model. The record is from RNAcentral.
CCGGUAGUCCCWGGCCGURAACGAUGGRSACUAGGCGUUAGAGGAGUSUACCCCYUUCASUGCCGUARCUAAWGCAUUAAGUGCCCCCACCUGAGGGAGUACGGUCSGCAAGGCUGAAACUCAAAGGAAUUGACGGGGGGCCCGCACAAGCGGUGGAGCAUGUGGUUUAAUUYGAUGCAACGCGAAAGAACCUUACCGGGGCUUGACAUGCAGGGGACAGGUGUGGAAACACACCCUCCUUCGRRCCCUUGCACAGGUGCUGCAUGGCUGUCGUCAGCUCGUGUCGUGAAAUGUUGGGUUAAGUCCCGCAACGAGCGCAACCCCUGUCCUUAGUUACCAUCAGGUUAUGCUGGGGACUSUAAGGAGACUGCCGGUGACAAACCGGAGGAAGGUGGGGAUGACGUCAAGUCCUCAUGGCCCUUACGCCCCGGGCUACACACGUGCUACAAUGGCCGGUACAAAGGGCAGCAAUACCGCGAGGUGGAGCGAAUCCCAAAAAGCCGGUCUCAGUUCGGAUUGCAGUCUGCAACUCGACUGCAUGAAGCAGGAAUCGCUAGUAAUCGCGCAUCAGAACGGCGCGGUGAAUACGUUCCCGGGCCUUGUACACACCGCCCGUCAAGUCAACCGAGUCGGCUGCACCCCAAGUCGUUGUGCUAACCCGUAAGGGAAGCAGGCGCACAAGGWGKGGUWGGUAAGGGGGAYUAAGUCGUAACAAGGUAACCGU